CAAACCAAAGCUGGCGACCGGCGCACGGGUGAGUAACACGUAUCCAACCUGCCUCAUACUCGGGGAUAGCCUUUCGAAAGAAAGAUUAAUAUACGAUAGCAUAUAUUUCCCGCAUGGGUUUUAUAUUAAAGAAAUUCGGUAUGAGAUGGGGAUGCGUUCCAUUAGUUUGUUGGGGGGGUAACGGCCCACCAAGACUACGAUGGAUAGGGGUUCUGAGAGGAAGGUCCCCCACAUUGGAACUGAGACACGGUCCAA
This 255-nucleotide ribosomal RNA is filed under the name uncultured bacterium. RNAcentral describes it as "partial 16S ribosomal RNA". It matches the Rfam family "Bacterial small subunit ribosomal RNA", at positions 74 to 334 of the family's 1533-position model. The record is from RNAcentral.